CAGGAUUCCCCUAGUACGGCGAGUGAAGCGGGAAGAGCUCAAAUUUAAAAUCUGGCGGCUUUGCCGUCCGAGUUGUAGUCUGUAGAGGCGUUAUCCGCGGCGGACCACGUACAAGUCCUUUGGGAUGAGGCGUCAUAGAGGGUGAGAAUCCCGUCCAUGACGUGGACUACCGUCGCUUUGCGUUGCGCCAUCGAAGAGUCGAGUUGUUUGGGAAUGCAGCUCAAAACGGGUGGUAAAUUCCAUCUAAAGCUAAAUACAGGCGAGAGACCGAUAGCGAACAAGUACCGUGAGGGAAAGAUGAAAAGAACUUUGGAAAGAGAGUUAAACAGUACGUGAAAUUGCUGAAAGGGAAACGCUUGAAGUCAGGUCGUCUCGGCGAGGACUCAGCCAGGCUUUUUGCCUGGCGCACUUCCUUCGUCGAGGGGCCAGCGUCAGUUUUGGGCGCCGAAUAAGGGCGCGGGG
Molecule: ribosomal RNA, 462 nt
Filed under: Basidiodendron remotum
Lineage: Eukaryota; Fungi; Basidiomycota; Agaricomycetes; Auriculariales; Exidiaceae
Description: partial large subunit ribosomal RNA
Rfam family: Eukaryotic large subunit ribosomal RNA
Source: RNAcentral